RNAcentral lists this ribosomal RNA (442 nucleotides) under uncultured delta proteobacterium. Its description in RNAcentral is "bacterial SSU rRNA". It matches the Rfam family "Bacterial small subunit ribosomal RNA", at positions 98 to 523 of the family's 1533-position model. Lineage: Bacteria; Deltaproteobacteria. The record is from RNAcentral.
GCGCACGGGUGAGUUAACGCGUGGGUGACCUACCCUGGAAUCUGGGAUAACACCGCGAAAGUGGUGCUAAUACCGGAUACGAUCCUCUAGCGAUAGGGGGUGAAAGUCGGCCUCUCGAAGAAGCUGAUGUUCCGGGAUGGGCUCGCGUCCUAUCAGCUAGUUGGUAGGGUAACGGCCUACCAAGGCGACGACGGGUAGCUGGUCUGAGAGGAUGAUCAGCCACACUGGCACUGGAACACGGGCCAGACUCCUACGGGAGGCAGCAGUGAGGAAUUUUGCGCAAUGGGGCAACCCUGACGCAGCAACGCCGCGUGGGUGAAGAAGGUCUUCGGAUCGUAAAGCCCUGUCAGGUGGGAAGAAUGUCUUCAAGGUGAACAAUCUUGGAGAGUGACGGUACCACCAGAGGAAGCACCGGCUAACUCCGUGCCAGCAGCCGCGGUAA